GCUAGUAAUCGUAGGUCAGCAUACUACGGUGAAUACGUUCCCGGGCCUUGUACACACCGCCCGUCAAACCAUGAGAGUUGGCAACACCCGAAGUCGGUAGUCUAACCGCAAGGAGGACGCCGCCGAAGGUGGGGUUGAUGAUUAGGGUUAAGUCGUAACAAGGUAUC
This 167-nucleotide ribosomal RNA is filed under the name uncultured bacterium. RNAcentral describes it as "partial 16S ribosomal RNA". It matches the Rfam family "Bacterial small subunit ribosomal RNA", at positions 1334 to 1500 of the family's 1533-position model. The record is from RNAcentral.